AUACGGAGGAUCCGAGCGUUAUCCGGAUUUAUUGGGUUUAAAGGGUGCGCAGGCGGCCAUUUAAGUCAGCGGUUAAAUCGUGGGGCUCAACCCCAUUCUGCCGUUGAUACUGGGUGGCUUGAUUGCGGGCGAGGUUGGCGGAAUUCGUUGUGGAGCGGUGAAAUGCAUAGAUAUGACGAAGAACACCGAUUGCGUAGGCAGCUGACCAGAUCGCAAAUGACGCUCAUGCACGAAAGUGCGGGGAUCGAACAGGAUUAGAUACCCUGGUAGUCCGCACAGUAAACGAUGAAUACUUGUUUUCGGCGAUAUAAUGUCGGAGGCAAAGCGAAAGCGAUAAGUAUUCCACCUGGGGAGUACGCCGGCAACGGUGAAACUCAAAUGAAUUGACGGGG
Molecule: ribosomal RNA, 392 nt
Filed under: uncultured bacterium
Lineage: Bacteria
Description: partial 16S ribosomal RNA
Rfam family: Bacterial small subunit ribosomal RNA
Source: RNAcentral